RNAcentral lists this transfer RNA (69 nucleotides) under Ictidomys tridecemlineatus (thirteen-lined ground squirrel). RNAcentral describes it as "Spermophilus tridecemlineatus (thirteen-lined ground squirrel) tRNA". It matches the Rfam family "tRNA". From Rfam's summary of the family: Transfer RNA (tRNA) molecules are approximately 80 nucleotides in length. Their secondary structure includes four short double-helical elements and three loops (D, anti-codon, and T loops). Further hydrogen bonds mediate the characteristic L-shaped molecular structure. tRNAs have two regions of fundamental functional importance: the anti-codon, which is responsible for specific mRNA codon recognition, and the 3' end, to which the tRNAs corresponding amino acid is attached (by aminoacyl-tRNA synthetases). tRNAs cope with the degeneracy of the genetic code in two manners: having more than one tRNA (with a specific anti-codon) for a particular amino acid; and 'wobble' base-pairing, i.e. permitting non-standard base-pairing at the 3rd anti-codon position. Lineage: Eukaryota; Metazoa; Chordata; Mammalia; Rodentia; Sciuridae. The record is from Rfam by way of RNAcentral.
GGAGUUGUGGCUCAGUGGUAGAGUGCUCGCCUAGCAUGCAUGAGGCCCUGGGUUCAAUCCUCAGUACCA